GAACCAUGAUGAGGACACUCUAAGAGGAGGUCUUUGAAUCAUUCCAUACACCGAGAGAAUGAUUCAUUAGAUUUCUGACAAAACUGGAGAAUAUUGUUCCUAAGCUU
Small nucleolar RNA from Cephalotus follicularis, 107 nucleotides. It matches the Rfam family "Plant small nucleolar RNA R71". From Rfam's summary of the family: R71 is a member of the C/D box family of snoRNAs containing the C (UGAUGA) and D (CUGA) box motifs. The record is from Rfam. NCBI's taxonomy places the organism in Eukaryota, Viridiplantae, Streptophyta, Magnoliopsida, Oxalidales, Cephalotaceae.